Molecule: small nuclear RNA, 23 nt
Filed under: Arabidopsis thaliana (thale cress)
Lineage: Eukaryota; Viridiplantae; Streptophyta; Magnoliopsida; Brassicales; Brassicaceae
Description: snRNA_16758
Source: RNAcentral
GAGGCGCUGUCUACGAGUCGGGU